RNAcentral lists this transfer RNA (75 nucleotides) under Planctomycetia bacterium. RNAcentral's name for it is "tRNA-Asn". It matches the Rfam family "tRNA". From Rfam's summary of the family: Transfer RNA (tRNA) molecules are approximately 80 nucleotides in length. Their secondary structure includes four short double-helical elements and three loops (D, anti-codon, and T loops). Further hydrogen bonds mediate the characteristic L-shaped molecular structure. tRNAs have two regions of fundamental functional importance: the anti-codon, which is responsible for specific mRNA codon recognition, and the 3' end, to which the tRNAs corresponding amino acid is attached (by aminoacyl-tRNA synthetases). tRNAs cope with the degeneracy of the genetic code in two manners: having more than one tRNA (with a specific anti-codon) for a particular amino acid; and 'wobble' base-pairing, i.e. permitting non-standard base-pairing at the 3rd anti-codon position. The record is from RNAcentral. Lineage: Bacteria; Pseudomonadati; Planctomycetota; Planctomycetia.
UGGGGUGUAGUUCAGCGGCAGAACGUCUGACUGUUAAUCAGGAUGUCGGAAGUUCGAUCCUUCCCACCCCAGCCA